Molecule: ribosomal RNA, 255 nt
Filed under: uncultured bacterium
Lineage: Bacteria
Description: partial 16S ribosomal RNA
Rfam family: Bacterial small subunit ribosomal RNA
Source: RNAcentral
UACGUAGGAGGCAAGCGUUUGUCCGGAAUUACUGGGCGUAAAGCGCGUGUAGGUGGUGGGACAAGUCUGCUGUGAAAGCGCCUGGCUUAACCGGGCGAGGUCGGCGGAAACUGUCCGACUAGAGGACGGUAGAGGGGGGGUGGAAUUCCCGGUGUAGUGGUGAAAUGCGUAGAGAUCGGGAGGAACACCUGUGGCGAAGGCGGCCCCCUGGGCCGGCCCUGACACUGAGACGCGAAGGCGUGGGGAGCGAACGGG